UGCCCAGGGGACGUGGAUAACCUCGGGAAACUGAGGAUAAACCGCGAUAGGUCAUCACUCCUGGAAUGGGUAAUGACUUAAAUCUAUAUGGCCCCUGGAUUGGACUGCGGCCGAUCAGGCUGUUGGUGAGGUAAUGGCCCACCAAACCUGCAACCGGUACGGGCUCUGAGAGGAGGAGCCCGGAGAUGGGCACUGAGACAAGGGCCCAGGCCCUACGGGGCGCAGCAGGCGCGAAACCUCUGCAAUAGGCGAAAGCUUGACAGGGUUACUCUGAGUGAUUUCCGUUAAGGAGAUCUUUUGGCACCUCUAAAAAUGGUGCAGAAUAAGGGGUGGGCAAGUCUGGUGUCAGCCGCCGCGGUAAUACCAGCACCCCGAGUGGUCGGGACGUUUAUUGGGCCUAAAGCAUCCGUAGCCGGUUCUACAAGUCUUCCGUUAAAUCCACCUGCUUAACAGAUGGGCUGCGGAAGAUACUAUAGAGCUAGGAGGCGGGAGAGGCAAGCGGUACUCGAUGGGUAGGGGUAAAAUCCGUUGAUCCAUUGAAGACCACCAGUGGCGAAGGCGGCUUGCCAGAACGCGCUCGACGGUGAGGGAUGAAAGCUGGGGGAGCAAACCGGAUUAGAUACCCGGGUAGUCCCAGCUGUAAACGAUGCAGACUCGGUGAUGAGUUGGCUUAUUGCUAACUCAGUGCCGCAGGGAAGCCGUUAAGUUUGCCGCCUGGGGAGUACGGUCGCAAGACUGAAACUUAAAGGAAUUGGCGGGGGAGCACCACAAGGGGUGAAGCCUGCGGUUCAAUUGGAGUCAACGCCGGAAAUCUUACCGGGGGCGACAGCAGAGUGAAGGUCAAGCUGAAGACUUUACCAGACAAGCUGAGAGGAGGUGCAUGGCCGUCGCCAGCUCGUGCCGUGAGGUGUCCUGUUAAGUCAGGUAACGAGCGAGAUCCCUGCCUCUAGUUGCUACCAUUAUUCUCAGGAGUAGUGGAGCUAAUUAGAGGGACCGCCGUCGCUGAGACGGAGGAAGGUGGGGGCUACGGCAGGUCAGUAUGCCCCGAAACCCUCGGGCCACACGCGGGCUGCAAUGGUAAGGACAAUGAGUUUCGAUUCCGAAAGGAGGAGGCAAUCUCUAAACCUUACCACAGUUAUGAUUGAGGGCUGAAACUCGCCCUCAUGAAUAUGGAAUCCCUAGUAACCGCGUGUCACUAUCGCGCGGUGAAUACGUCCCUGCUCCUCGCACACACCGCCCGUCGCUUCAUCGAAGUUGGUUCUUGGCGAGGUGGUGCCUAAUUGGUACUAUCGAACCUGGGGUCAGCAACGAGGGAG
This 1316-nucleotide ribosomal RNA is filed under the name uncultured crenarchaeote. Its description in RNAcentral is "bacterial SSU rRNA". It matches the Rfam family "Archaeal small subunit ribosomal RNA", at positions 110 to 1429 of the family's 1478-position model. Lineage: Archaea; Thermoproteati; Thermoproteota. The record is from RNAcentral.